UAGUUCACUGCUUGUUAUACUGCUUUCUCCAUCCUCAGUAUGUGGUUUGUCUGUUUACAGUGUAAGCUCUGCAAGGUAGACACCAUCACCUACUGUUUGCACAGUGCCUAGCCCAGUAGGUGAUGGUUCUCAAUUGGCCCUUAAGUGCUAUCAGAAUAAAAUAAACACAAAGCAUGGUGCUUCCCUAUUUUGUACCAUUGACUGGUGGAGCUAGGGGGUUGCUGGGAGCCUGAGGACCAUAUCUAAUCUGGGUGAAAUGGACCAUAUUACAACCACCUUAAUUCUUCAAAUAUAAGUGGAAUCUGAUAUAAUAGUCCCCCAGCUGCAAUGCUCUUAUGAUGCAUUAGACUAGCAUGCAUUGCAUACUGGUUCAGGUAGUUUCCAUGGGCAUGCAGGCCUGCUCACUGCACAGGAGCCUUCUUAACGGGACAAUUCUUAUGGGUCAGUUGUUUAUGAAAUGCUUGUGGUGUGUUAGACAGCAGCAAAUUAUAUCUUCUGCUCUCUGACCCUUCACCCAACAACCCUAUGCCAGGGACCCCCUGGAAUAUACAGCACACUAAAACAUUUACACAUAGACUAAGAAAAGCGGGGGACCAUGACAUGAUUUGGGUUUGCAUCAUUUCAUUGCAAAAAGUUUCCACUCAUGAAGGAAGGCUGAGAGGAGAGAAGAUUGAAGCCCAGCUUAAUACAGGGUCCUUGAUUGACAGCCUUAACAUAUGGAAGCUUGGGACAUAGACAUCAGGUUGCUACAGGGAAUCCCCCAUAGAAACCACAGCCUGAAGGUGCUGCAAGGGAGACAGGGAUACUGGAUAUUGCAAACAGGAGCAGAAGAGGAAGUUAUCAAUAACACCAUCUCUAGUAAAAUGAUAGUAGUAAUGUACAACCAAUUCCCCUUCAGCCCAAUUCUUUCACAUGCUCAUGUGCUCUUUUACAACUCCAUUAGAGAAGGGAUUCUCAACCUUUUUCUGAAACCCGCUCCUGUGACAUGCUAUAAAAACUCCAGGGCCUAGCACAGUUUGAAAAACAGCUUAGGGUGUAGGGAGGGGUAGUUAGGGACUGUACGCAGACAGUGGGUAGCUCAAGGUGCAGUGAAAGGGUAACUGGGGCUGUGUGCACACAUGGGGUGGCUAUGGGUGCAAGAGGGAGGUGGCAAGGGACUGGGUGUAGGCAGGGGGCAGCUCAGGGGGCAGGGAGGGCAUAGCCUCAGGGCGUAGGGAGAGGGUUAUUAGGGACUAUGUGCUGGGAGGGUGUCCCUGUUCCCAGAGGGGUCUGCCAGCCACUGACCUGGGUCUCCCCACCCAGGGGGCUCUUACUGGCUGCCUCUGUAGGAGCAAAGGGGGGGAGCUGAGAAGCAGCUUCAAACCAGGGCACCAGCAGGAGAGGGGGGAGUGCUGUUACUGCCUGCUCCAUGGCACCAGUUACAGCAGCAGCUGUCCCACAGUGCCCUGCUCCAGCUUCCCACCUCUGACCUGACCAAGGGGUGAGGAGAGGAGAUGGGGCAGGGGAGGCAUGGAGCUGCCCUUGGGACUGCCAUGCUCUUGUGCUAUUUUGGGGGGGGGGGCAGUGUGCACAGGGGGAAUGCCCUCCAUGUCCCCAACUCUGCCCAUGGCCUCAGGCCUUCUGCCCCACAGGGACCAGGGCUCUGGGCUUCAGCCCCUCAGGGGAAUGUUUACAUAAUAUAAGUAAGGUUACAGUUUAAUCACAGAAUCUGACUUCCAGCUACCUCCACUGUAGGCUGAAGUCACUGUCAGGAGCUGAGAACUGCAGGAUACUCCUGUCACCUCUAGUAGUCCCUGUAGCCUCCUGCUACUGCACAUAGCUCCUAGCCCCUGCACCGCUGACCAUUUCAGGCAGUAUAGGAAGCCCCAGCUCCCCAUUUUGUCAGGGAUAUUUUUAGUAAGAGUCACAGACAGCUCACAACUUCCAUGAACUUCUUUUUUACUGAAAAUAUUCCUGAUAAAAUCUUAGCCUUAAAUAUAAGCAAGGUCAGUAAAAGAUGGUAGAAACAGGCAUGAGAUGAGUAGUUUUAAAUAGCAGUACCAUUGUUAUGGAGUACAGUCUGUAGCCAUUUGCUUUUUAAGCCACCACCAGUAUUUAAGACAUCCACUUUGAAAAGGCAUCCUUCUUGGGGAGAGGGGAGAAUCAAGAGAUGAGAUGGUGGUAACUUACCACCACUCAGACAACUGAAGCAGCAUGGUGCUAGCACAUGGGAGCUCUCCCAUAGGAAAAAAGGUAUAGAACACCCUCCCUAAGUACAUUGGUGACUCAAGCCAGAGGAGGUAUAGAAUGCACGGACUAGCUUGACAAGAAUUCCUAGCUUCCCCCCCCUGGCUCUAAGCUUUAUUGUGCUAGUUGUGUGCCAUGAUUCUAAUGAAGUCACAUUCACAAGAUUUUGCACCAUCCCUGGUUCAGGAGUAGUGCAGCUGUUCCAUUGGUGGUAACACUGAAAGCAGCAUAAGAGGAUAAAGACUUUUAGACCCCAGCCUAAUGAGCACAAGCUGGCUGUACCAGUAAUUCCACCAUAGGGACCACACUAGCUCAGGGUGUUUAGUGACUAAACCAGUAUUCAACAAGAGUUAAUCCUAACAGCAUUUUCCCCCAUUCACUGAAGUCUAAUGACAUGUUUUCAUAAGUCCUUCAUUCCAGAUACCCAAUCCUGCCCCCAGACAUGCCUAGAUCUUUUCCUUCAGUUAAGGAGACUUUAAUUGUGACAGCUCUUUGACAGUCUGUCAGCAUGGCAGUAAUGUUACAAGGUAAGUUUCCAGUGCAUUCCAGCUUCAUGCUCCCCCAUUGAUGGAGAGAGCAUGUUCUCUCACAACCCCCUCAUGAAUCUUUAUCAAUGUACUCAAUUAUAUAAGAUAUAAGAUGCUCUACUGCAUUACACACAUCAACUUUACACAAAUGUAUACAAAAAAAUAUAUAAUAUAUACAGGAAGUGCCACAGUGCUCCUGUAUCAGGAACAAAACCCCUUUUUAUCAAAAAGAAUAACUCUGGUGCUACCAAUUCAGAGGAUCAGAGUCCUUUGAAAAAAGUCCAGAGCCCAUUAGUGUACUGAAUAAGUCUUUAACAUAAAUUCUGACACUGACCCUGCAUGCAGGAUGAUGAAUAAGACUGAACAUCUGGUUUAGGUCCAGUGUACCUGGAAUGAGAAAUGGCUGCUCCCUAUUUCUUCAGCCCAUGACCGGGAACCAGGCUAAGAGACCUUAAAAUGUCUGUGCAAGGGGGAAGACUUUCAUAGAGGGAAUGAUUCUGAGUAUUAUACUUAAGAUCCAUUUUCCUUUGCAUAUUUUUUCUAGACCAGACCUUGUUAACAUUGGUAGUGGAGUUUAAACUCAUCACACAUUGGCUAAGGGCUUACUCAUUCAGGAUCACAUUCUGAAAGACAUCAGGACUUCUCCGAUGUUUCCAGAGAGCCACAGAUUAAGGUCAUACAAAGGGUGCCUUCCUUCUAACACGACUGAGACAGA
Long non-coding RNA from Gopherus evgoodei (Goodes thornscrub tortoise), 3468 nucleotides. RefSeq lists it as uncharacterized. Lineage: Eukaryota; Metazoa; Chordata; Testudines; Testudinidae. The transcript is spliced from 2 exons. The record is from RefSeq and is a predicted model, not a curated record.